This 4205-nucleotide long non-coding RNA is filed under the name Marmota monax (woodchuck). Lineage: Eukaryota; Metazoa; Chordata; Mammalia; Rodentia; Sciuridae. The record is from RNAcentral.
UGUGGUCCAACCUAGGGUCUAGACAUGCCAGGCAAGCUCUACCACAGAGCCACACUCCUGGCCAUUUUUACUGUAUUUUGAGAUAGGGUCUUCCUGUGUUGCCCAGGCUGGCCUCAAACUUGUAAUCCUCCUGCCUCUGCCUCCAAGUAGCUAGGGUUGCAGACUUGCACCGCUACACCCAGUUGAAGGUUACUUCUUUUUAAAAUAUUUUUAGUUCUAGGUGGACAUAAUGAAUUGAUUGUACUAUAUGGUGCUGAGGAUGGAACCUGGUGCCUCUCAAACGCCAGGCAAGGGCUCUACUGCUGAGCCACAUCCCCAGCCCCUCCCCAGGCCUUUUUAUUUUGAGAGAGGGUUUUAAUAAGUUGCUUAGGGCCUCCCUACAUUGCUGAGGCUGGCCUUGAACUUUCCAUCCUCCUGUCUCAGCCUUCUGAGUGGCUGGAAUCACAGGUGCGCAUCCCCUAAGGCCGCAUCUCAGCGGUCUGACGACAUUUCCAACUCUGUUCUUAUGUCUGUGGUGGUGACCUGUGAGCAGCGGUCUUUGCCACAAGUGGAAUUGUUUGGGGGCACCAUGAACUGCACCCAGAUAAGACUAUGAACUCUGUCCUGUGUUCUGACUGCUCCACUGACCAUCUCCCCGUCGCCGUCCCCCUUGGCCUCCCUGUGCCCUGAGACACAACUGUGUUGAAGUUAGGCCAGUAGCAGCCCAACAGCGGCCUCGGAGUGUCCCAGGGAAAGGAAGAGCUGCACACCUCUCACUUUGAAUCAGAAGCUGGAGUGAUGGCACCGUGGAGGAGGCCAGCAGCCAGGCCUCCAGCUGAUAGCCACGCUGUGAGUGCGGAAGAAGUCCUGGGGAAGGACAUGGCACGCGCUGCCCCGUGAAGGAGCGAGGGAUAAGAGAGCGCAGCAGCUGCUGGUGCUGAGACUCACGGGCCUGGACAGGAGGGAAGCCAGCCACAGCCCAUCCUCAAGCCAGAGCCUCGUCCAGGGCAGGGUCCUGGGCCAGCUGAGGCUCAGUGGCAGGGCAUGUGCCCAGCGUGCCCCUGGUGCUCACAGCAGAGAGAAGUCAGUGCCAGGCUCCAAAGCCGGGCGGGUGUCUCUCCUGUCAGGUGCCUGCACAGUGGUGACAUCAGGUUGAAGCCAGUGCUGGCCCACCACUGUGACGAUCCUGGCCUCGGGGACUUGUCCUGUCCUGUCUGCCAGAGUUCUGAAUGGACCACAGAGCCCUGAUGGCGCACAGCUGUACCCUAGGGGCCCUGACUGCUGGGCUGCUGCUCAGAAAAGGUCUCUUCCUGAGCCUCGUUGCUCCUGGACAGCCUGCCUGGUCACCUGGAGGCUGGAUGGAGAUGGGCAGCGAGGUCCACCUGGGCUUCAUGCCCCAUCCGUUUCCAUAGCCCGGGGAUUGUGAAGUAAUGUGGGGUGGGGGUUCCAGGGAUCCUGGUGUCUGCAUUUUCAUUGUAUCUGGCAUUUUGACACAUUGUACGGAAAUGGAGCACAACUCCUCCUCCCUCUGGCUGCGGUGGUGCAGUCACAUGUGCAUGUAGGGUCAUAACCUCCUUGUUACCGUGCAUGUUUGUUUUUAAAGGAUGACUUACAUUGUGGCUCAAGAUGGACAGCUAAUGUUGGACUCCUCCCCGCACGCUUCUGGAUACUGAGAGGAGGCAAUGCCCAUCAGAAAUAUCAUUAAUCCCAGCAGCUCUGGAGCCUGAGGCAGGAGGAUCAAGAGUUCAAAGCCAGCCUCAGCAACAUCGAGGCGCUAAGCAACCCAGUGAGACCCUGUCUUUAAAGAAAAAAUAUAACAUAGGGCUGGGGGUGUGGCUCAGUGGUUGAGUGCUCUGGAGUUCGAUCCCUGGUAUUGAAAAGAAAUGACCAUCCUUGCUGCAUGCAGCGUGUGCUCCUGUUGUUCCAGCAGCUCGGGCAGUGGUUCACGAGUUCAAGGCCAGCCUGGACAACUCAAGGAGACCCUAUCUCAAAAUUAGACAAAAAGGGCAAAUGCCCCUGGGUUCAAUCCCCAGUGCCAAAGAAAAAGAAAUAAGCUUCCUUAGGGUAUAGAGUGGGGAGCAGGACAGGCGCGUGUCACAGGGGGGAAGAGAAGCCUGUGUGUCGGUCGGUAGCUUCCAGUGGCCGCCAUCGCAAGUCAGGACAGAUGGCACUCACAGCAGCACUCCUAGUUCUGGGGGCCGCACUCCCUCUGGGAGCUCUGGGAAGGAACCUCCUCCCCAGCUCCUGGCACCUGCUGCGCCCCCUAGCCCCCAGCCAUGUGGCCGCCUGUCUCCCGAGGACAGCUAGCUGUCCACGGGAAUCAAAGCCCACUGAUCCUCAGUUACAGCAGCCAAGAGCCUUCUCCACAAAUAAAGCCACGUCCUGGGUUCUGGGACUUGGGGCGUGGGGUCCCCUAGUGGCCACCGUCUCUCACCUGUGUGCAUUCAGCUGUCCUUGUGGUGGCUCGCCUCUGGAGAUGCUCAUGCAGCCGAGGCCUUGCCCAUCAGUGAAGAGUUCUUGGCACCGGUGCCACACUGAGGGCACUGGGGCUCUGCCCUGUGGUUCCCGAGUCUGCCUCCAGCGUCCCCGGUCAACCUUCCCGGCAGUGUUUGGAGAUACAUACUCUCCGUGUAUCCUUCCGUGCUGAGCCCAGGGUGGAUGGCAGGGCAGCCUCUCACCAGGGGCUUGGCAUGUCUCCUGCAGGGUUCCUGAUGCCCAGGCUCCUGGGAGGGAGGCAGCAGAGUCUCACUGGAGGGCCUGGCCCAGGCCACACCCCGUGCUGCUGCCCGAGCACAGCUGCCUGCUCAAUGGAAGGCUGACCUGCUGACCAGCACCCCUGGGCCAGUGCCACUGGACAUCUCUGCCUUUGUCACUCAGUCCCCAGACGCUGUGUCACACCUUCACAGUCACUCUCCCUCCUCCCUGUCCCCACCUUUGUGCUGGGCCCACAGGCAACAGCUCCUGCCUUGGGGCUUGGCACCCUCCCUGCUGGGCUGGUGGAGCUCAGCUCAGCUCCGCCUCGCCCCACCCUCCCCCAGUGCCGGGCACUGGACCUGGGGUGCUUGACCACUGAGCUGCAUCCCCAGCCUUUUUCAUUUUUAUUUUGAAAUGGGUCUCCCUGGGUUUGUGAGGAUGGCCUUGAGCUUGACACUCCAGCCUCGGCUGCCCAGGUCUCUGACAUUCCAGAGUGCACGUCUCAGACCCACCGCGUGCCCCCACACAUCCCUUUCCUUGUUCACGCCUCUCUUGUGGCACCGAGUGCAGUCUGACAGACUUAUGUAUCUCACUGGUCAUUUUCUCCACCUUCCUCCCAGAAUAAAUAUCACUGUGUGGUGUUGUAGGUGCCCACUGAGUGCCAGGCACCCAGAAUAAGGCCCAGGACGCAGCUGGUCAAGUUCCCAUCUAUAGUGUUCAGAUUCUUGUUGAUGGGCCCAGAUCUUCGCGCACCCCUGGGAGCCUGCCUUUGACUGGGAGAUGGGCCCACCUGCUGGCCAGGACGGGGCGUUGGCGCCACCCAGUGGCCAGUCCAGGGUCUGCACCCUGGCCACCCUGGGAGGUCCCAUGCCUGCUGCUGGCUGCAGCUGAAGUGCUGCCGCCACUUGUUGCCCGCACCUCGAGGUGGCCAUUAAAGUGAUGGAAAGAUACAGCUGAUGCUCAUGUCUGUCACCUUGGCCCUUUGUUCCACUCCUGGGUGACAAGACCUGCGUCCAGAAAGCCACAAUUCACAAUUGUCCGCAGGCCAGGAAAACAUAAGUGCCUGUCCCCUGCUGGCCCGUCAGCACACAGUGGUCCAUCCAUACCCCGGAAAACGUGAGAAUGCAGGACUGUGGCAGAGCUGCCGAGGCUGAGGCAGGAGGACUGCCGGAGGCUGGGGGGUCGAGGCCAGCCUGGGCACCACGGCAAGAUCCCCUUUCACAGAGUACAUCCGCCGCAGCACGGAUGAGCCUUGAAGCCAGAAACGAAAGGACACACGGUGCGGAUGCAUCUGUGGGACAUCACCAGAAGGGCAGGUCCACAGAGAGGAGAGUGCUGUGGUGGCCACCAGGGCCUGGGGACGGGAGGGAGUGACAGCUCAGAACUGUGGCAUGUCUCUGUGGGCCCACGGAAAUGCUCAGAUGGUGGUGGUCAUUGCCAUCCUUGUGAAUGUACUGAAAACAGGAUUAUAGACCUUAAAAGUGGACUGUAGAUUGUGGAUCAUAUCAAUAAAAUUGGCUUAAGCAGUUCUA